GCCUCCGUAGCUCAGUUGGUAGAGCGACAGUUUCGUAAACUGUAGGUCAUGAGUUCGAUCCUCAUCGGGGGCU
Molecule: transfer RNA, 73 nt
Filed under: archaeon GW2011_AR5
Lineage: Archaea
Also listed under: 1 other name
Description: tRNA-Thr
Rfam family: tRNA
About the family: Transfer RNA (tRNA) molecules are approximately 80 nucleotides in length. Their secondary structure includes four short double-helical elements and three loops (D, anti-codon, and T loops).
Source: RNAcentral